Molecule: ribosomal RNA, 510 nt
Filed under: uncultured bacterium
Lineage: Bacteria
Description: partial 16S ribosomal RNA
Rfam family: Bacterial small subunit ribosomal RNA
Source: RNAcentral
GACGAACGCUGGCGGCGUGCUUAACACAUGCAAGUCGAACGAAGAGCGAUGGAAGCUUGCUUCUAUCACUCUUAGUGGCGAACGGGUGAGUAACGCGUAAUCAACCUGCCCUUCAGAGGGGGACAACAGUUGGAAACGACUGCUAAUACCGCAUACGAUCCAAUCUCGGCAUCGGGACUGGAUGAAAGGUGGCCUCUAUUUAUAAGCUAUCACUGAAGGAGGGGAUUGCGUCUGAUUAGCUAGUUGGAGGGGUAACGGCCCACCAAGGCGAUGAUCAGUAGCCGGUCUGAGAGGAUGAACGGCCACAUUGGGACUGAGACACGGCCCAGACUCCUACGGGAGGCAGCAGUGGGGAAUCUUCCGCAAUGGACGAAAGUCUGACGGAGCAACGCCGCGUGAGUGAUGACGGCCUUCGGGUUGUAAAGCUCUGUUAAUCGGGACGAAUGGUUCUUGUGCGAAUAGUGCGAGGAUUUGACGGUACCGGAAUAGAAAGCCACGGCUAACUACGUG